CGUAUGUCUGAUCGCACGCGCGCUACACUGACAGAGCCAGCGAGUUUUUUUCCUUGGCCGGAAGGUCUGGGUAAUCUUGUGAAACUCUGUCGUGCUGGGGAUAGAGCAUUGCAAUUAUUGCUCUUCAACGAGGAAUACCUAGUAAGCGUGAGUCAUCAGCUCGCGUUGAUUACGUCCCUGCCCUUUGUACACACCGCCCGUCGCUACUACCGAUUGAAUGGCUUAGUGAGGUCUCCGGAUUGGCUUUGGGGAGCCGGCAACGGCACCCUAUUGCUGAGAAGCUGAUCAAACUUGGUCAUUUAGAGGAAGUAAAAGUCGUAACAAGGUUUCCGUAGGGAGCCUGCGGAAGU
This 350-nucleotide ribosomal RNA is filed under the name uncultured fungus. Its description in RNAcentral is "SSU rRNA". It matches the Rfam family "Eukaryotic small subunit ribosomal RNA", at positions 1474 to 1823 of the family's 1831-position model. Lineage: Eukaryota; Fungi. The record is from RNAcentral.